This is a non-coding RNA of Caenorhabditis elegans, 168 nucleotides long. The record is from Ensembl. Lineage: Eukaryota; Metazoa; Nematoda; Chromadorea; Rhabditida; Rhabditidae.
UUCGAUAUUCGGGACAAAUAUUGUAGGGUGGAAGGGUAAUACUACUUGAGAACAAAUACUUAAUAGUACCACACUUCAUUAUUAUAUAUGUGUCAUGUAUUUGGAAUCCAAAAUUGAUUGACUACCUUCUUCUUCUCCUUCCGGAAGGCAACUCUUUGAAGAUGCCGA